RNAcentral lists this transfer RNA (77 nucleotides) under Kiritimatiellia bacterium. RNAcentral describes it as "Kiritimatiellae bacterium (gut metagenome) tRNA-Val". It matches the Rfam family "tRNA". From Rfam's summary of the family: Transfer RNA (tRNA) molecules are approximately 80 nucleotides in length. Their secondary structure includes four short double-helical elements and three loops (D, anti-codon, and T loops). Further hydrogen bonds mediate the characteristic L-shaped molecular structure. tRNAs have two regions of fundamental functional importance: the anti-codon, which is responsible for specific mRNA codon recognition, and the 3' end, to which the tRNAs corresponding amino acid is attached (by aminoacyl-tRNA synthetases). tRNAs cope with the degeneracy of the genetic code in two manners: having more than one tRNA (with a specific anti-codon) for a particular amino acid; and 'wobble' base-pairing, i.e. permitting non-standard base-pairing at the 3rd anti-codon position. Lineage: Bacteria; Pseudomonadati; Kiritimatiellota; Kiritimatiellia. The record is from RNAcentral.
GGACGAUUAGCUCAGUUGGUCAGAGCAGGACCUUUACACGGUCAAGGUCGGGGGUUCGAAUCCCUCAUCGUCCACCA